GAUGAACGCUGGCGGCGUGCCUAAUACAUGCAAGUCGAGCGAACGGACGAGAAGCUUGCUUCUCUGAUGUUAGCGGCGGACGGGUGAGUAACACGUGGAUAACCUACCUAUAAGACUGGGAUAACUUCGGGAAACCGGAGCUAAUACCGGAUAAUAUUUUGAACCGCAUGGUUCAAAAGUGAAAGACGGUCUUGCUGUCACUUAUAGAUGGAUCCGCGCUGCAUUAGCUAGUUGGUAAGGUAACGGCUUACCAAGGCAACGAUGCAUAGCCGACCUGAGAGGGUGAUCGGCCACACUGGAACUGAGACACGGUCCAGACUCCUACGGGAGGCAGCAGUAGGGAAUCUUCCGCAAUGGGCGAAAGCCUGACGGAGCAACGCCGCGUGAGUGAUGAAGGUCCUCGGAUCGUAAAACUCUGUUAUUAGGGAAGAACAGAUGUGUAAGUAACUGUGCACAUCUUGACGGUACCUAAUCAGAAAGCCACGGCUAACUACGUG
This 497-nucleotide ribosomal RNA is filed under the name uncultured bacterium. RNAcentral describes it as "partial 16S ribosomal RNA". It matches the Rfam family "Bacterial small subunit ribosomal RNA", at positions 28 to 507 of the family's 1533-position model. The record is from RNAcentral.